GAUGAACGCUGGCGGCGUGCCUAAUACAUGCAAGUAGAACGCUGAAGGAGGAGCUUGCUCUUCUGGAUGAGUUGCGAACGGGUGAGUAACGCGUAGGUAACCUGCCUGGUAGCGGGGGAUAACUAUUGGAAACGAUAGCUAAUACCGCAUGACAACAGUUAUUGCAUGAUAACUGUUUAAAAGGGGCAACUGCUCCACUACCAGAUGGACCUGCGUUGUAUUAGCUAGUUGGUGAGGUAACGGCUCACCAAGGCGACGAUACAUAGCCGACCUGAGAGGGUGAUCGGCCACACUGGGACUGAGACACGGCCCAGACUCCUACGGGAGGCAGCAGGAGGGAAUCUUCGGCAAUGGACGGAAGUCUGACCGAGCAACGCCGCGUGAGUGAAGAAGGGUUUCGGAUCGUAAAGCUCGGUUGUAAGAGAAGAACGAGUGUGAGAGUGGAAAGUUCACACUGUGACGGUAUCUUACCAGAAAGGGACGGCUAACUACGUG
This 495-nucleotide ribosomal RNA is filed under the name uncultured bacterium. Its description in RNAcentral is "partial 16S ribosomal RNA". It matches the Rfam family "Bacterial small subunit ribosomal RNA", at positions 28 to 507 of the family's 1533-position model. The record is from RNAcentral.